GCACUGCUGAGGAGUGCCACGAUAGGACGAAACGGCCGUCCAGUGC
This is a non-coding RNA of Schistosoma margrebowiei, 46 nucleotides long. NCBI's taxonomy places the organism in Eukaryota, Metazoa, Platyhelminthes, Trematoda, Strigeidida, Schistosomatidae. The record is from Rfam.